UACGAAAGGUGCAAGCGUUGUUCGGAUUUACUGGGCGUAAAGAGAGUGUAGGUUGUUUAUUAAGUCGGAUGUGAAAUCCCGGGCUCAACCCCGGAACUGCAUUCGAUACUGAUAGGCUAGAGUUCGGGAGGGGUAAGCGGAAUUCCGUGUGUAGCAGUGAGAUGCGUAGAUAUACGGAGGAACACCUGAGGCGAAGGCGGCUUACUGGACCGAUACUGACACUGAGACUCGAAAGCGUGGGUAGCAAACAGGAUUAGAAACCCUAGUAGUCC
This 272-nucleotide ribosomal RNA is filed under the name uncultured bacterium. Its description in RNAcentral is "partial 16S ribosomal RNA". It matches the Rfam family "Bacterial small subunit ribosomal RNA", at positions 524 to 796 of the family's 1533-position model. The record is from RNAcentral.